RNAcentral lists this ribosomal RNA (446 nucleotides) under Theileria orientalis. RNAcentral describes it as "SSU rRNA". It matches the Rfam family "Eukaryotic small subunit ribosomal RNA", at positions 539 to 1027 of the family's 1831-position model. The record is from RNAcentral. Lineage: Eukaryota; Apicomplexa; Aconoidasida; Piroplasmida; Theileriidae.
UUGGAAGGGCAAGUCUGGUGCCAGCAGCCGCGGUAAUUCCAGCUCCAAUAGCGUAUAUUAAAAUUGUUGCAGUUAAAAAGCUCGUAGUUGAAUUUCUGCUGCAUUACAUAUCUCUUGUUUGAGUUUGUUUUUGUGGCUUAUUUCGGUUUGAUUUUUUUAUCUUUCCGGAUGAUUACUUUGAGAAAAUUAGAGUGCUCAAAGCAGGCUUUUGCCUUGAAUAGUUUAGCAUGGAAUAAUAAAGUAGGACUUUGGUUCUAUUUUGUUGGUUUUAGGUACCAAAGUAAUGGUUAAUAGGAACAGUUGGGGGCAUUCGUAUUUAACUGUCAGAGGUGAAAUUCUUAGAUUUGUUAAAGACGAACUACUGCGAAAGCAUUUGCCAAGGAUGUUUUCAUUAAUCAAGAACGAAAGUUAGGGGAUCGAAGACGAUCAGAUACCGUCGUAGUCCU